UACGUAGGGGGCAAGCGUUGUCCGGAUUUAUUGGGCGUAAAGAGCGUGUAGGCGGCCACACAAGUCUGCUGUGAAAACUCGAGGCUCAACCUCGAGAUGUCGGCGGAAACCAUUUGGCUAGAGUCCGGAAGAGGAAAGUGGAAUUCCUGGUGUAGCGGUGAAAUGCGCAGAUAUCAGGAAGAACACCGGUGGCGAAGGCGGGUCUCUGGGCCGUAACUGACGCUGAGGAGCGAAAGCGUGGGGAGCGAACAGG
Molecule: ribosomal RNA, 253 nt
Filed under: uncultured bacterium
Lineage: Bacteria
Description: partial 16S ribosomal RNA
Rfam family: Bacterial small subunit ribosomal RNA
Source: RNAcentral